Molecule: long non-coding RNA, 1293 nt
Organism: Sorghum bicolor (sorghum)
Lineage: Eukaryota; Viridiplantae; Streptophyta; Magnoliopsida; Poales; Poaceae
Exons: 4
Source: RefSeq, a predicted model, not a curated record
GUCGCUCUGCUCUCGCCCACAUAGCCGUGCUCCAGCCCAGCCUCCAGGGGGGUUAGGGUUUCGUCGAUUCGUGUCGGGCCUCCUCCCAUUUCCUCUUUGCCGUCGUCGCGCGUGGUCCGGUCUGGCGCUCCGAUUCCUCGCCGUGGGUAGGUCGAUUGGGGUCCCUAGGCCUCUCCCGCUCUCCGCCCGCGGGGUACGGCACGGUGCGGAGGUUUCGUCCAGCCCUGGUUUUUCUAAUGCGGUUAACAGGCGCGUUCCUGCAGCUAGGUGGUAGACUGUGGUGCUGUUGGGGGCGGUGAUGUCAUCAUAUAGCAGAGUAAACCUGUAAAUCAUGCCGAUUGCAGUUGAAAUACAUGCCUUGGGAACCACUGUUAUCACACAUUUGGUGAUUUGGAAAUUGGGGCUGUAUAAGCUACUAGUGGGUCGUGAAGCCUUCUUGUUUCCUAUAUAAAGAGUUGUUUCAGAUCCUCGAGAGUUGAGAGACUUGACUCCUUGGAGGUCAUACAAGAGUCUCAAUAAUGCGUUUGAUACCUUGUGCAGCAUCUCUAGCAUCAAUUAUGCUCACUAAGUCCCUAUGAUCUAUUGUAUUUAGCUAUCAUAAUCGUCCUGAAUAACUUAAUUAGGCCUAGUUAUGGAUGCAAUGUGUAUACCAAAUAUAUCACACCGCAAGGAUUUCACUACUACCCUUGGAACAGUCAAGGGGGAGGCAGUGCCACUGGUGGGCAGAACCAUGCUUGCUGAUAACAGGAAAAGGGUAGGCAGGCUGCAGACUGAAGGAUACCUCGCAGCUAGGAUGUGCAUCAUUGUAUACACUGCUGCUGCUUGCCUCCCAGACCUAGCCAUUAGGACCUGCCCAGGCUCCCCAACGCAGGUCCAGGGCAGCACCCCUUGUAAGCUUGGGGUCGUAGUCUGCACGUGCCCAUCGACUGCUCCUGGCAAUUUCGGAUGAACUCAUCAGCUCUUCCUGGAAGAGCACAAGACAACUCCUUUCUUUUACUCUUGCUUUCGCUUUUGUUAAUCAAGUUUCAUGUUUGCAAUGGUCUGGUUGUUUCAUGUUUGUAAUGGUCUGGUUGCAAGGUUGUGCUAUGGAAAAGUGAGCUGUACCCAAAGUGCUAACUGCUGUUGCUGAUUUGAUCCCCAUGUGGUGCCUCGUGCCGCCUGGUUAUCUUUUUGGCGAUGUGGCAUGUUUACAAAGUGUGCCUGACAUCCAGGGCAGUAGCUUCUUUCGGUGGUCUUUGUUAAAUUUGUUAACUGAGUUAUUUACCUGAUAAAGUGGCUUACCCAGUUCCGGCU